Molecule: long non-coding RNA, 1356 nt
Organism: Neogale vison (American mink)
Lineage: Eukaryota; Metazoa; Chordata; Mammalia; Carnivora; Mustelidae
Exons: 2
Source: RefSeq, a predicted model, not a curated record
UGCCGGGUCCCCGCCGUAGCGCCGGCCACGCUGGGUCUCCGGGCCGUGAGUCCGAGCCGCGGGCUCCGGGGCUACUUAAAACACAGCGUCGUCGGGCCGAGCCUUGCGUGUCGGCGGGACUCCGCGCUGGGGCGGCCGCUCUGGAAGGCGGCGUGGCGGGUCCCCACAAGUGCCGGGUGCGGCCGCCGCACGAGCCAGCGGCCCCCCUGCGUGCGCGGCCGAGGGGGAGGAAAGCGGGCGCCUAAGGAGAGACCCGCACGCCCCUGCCCGCAGCCGCAGGACGCACCGGAGCGGCCGCUGGGACAGCCCACGCUGCCGCCAGAAGAGCGGACACCAUGCGGCACGUCCACGCAACGGAGUGUCGCUGCCCAGACGGAGGAAGAAAGGAGGGACCCUGACCUCUGCCGCACGCGGAGGGACCCUGAGGACACGGAUUUUAUUUAUUUAUUCGACAGAGACUUACUGAGAGAGGGAGCACGUGCAGAGGGGGUGCGGAGGGAGAGCCCGGCUUCCCACCGAGCGGGGAGUCCGAGGCGGGGCUCGACCCCAGCGCCCGGGCCCGCCACCAGGACCUGAGCCGAGGGCAGACGCUCCGCCGACCCAGCCACCCAGGCGCCCUACGUGGGACUCUCCGGAGCAGGCGUCCAGGCCGGAGACAGCUGGAGGCUGCGCUCCUGAGGGUCCUGAUCGUGCCCACCAGGAGGGGACUGGGAGCCGGAGGGCCGGAAGCAGUGAAGGAUUUCUCCCCUUGACAGUCCCCUGUCCCUGGGGGUGUCCCGCCACGGCAACCCCCCACACCUGCCCGUGCGCCUACAGUGUCGGGUCCUUAUUCACAUUCCGGCCUCCUCAGCCCGGGGAUCUCGGGCUCAGAACCCAGCCGGACUCAGAAUCUGCAACACGUAUCUGUAAAGCGGGUCAAUGCGAAAGAGUGAACGUGCCCUCCGUUCGUGGGGUGGGGGGGGGCGUGUGCAGAAACCUGGAUUUCGUGCGCCCACCUGGGGUAAGACUUCAGUGAUGAAAACAAGAAAUGGCGGAGGCAGGUGGGAGGCUCUCCAACAGGGCGCCCGGGGUGGAGGGCUCUCCCCUCUGUUUUAGUCCACUUGGUGGGGUUUUUUCCCUUUUUUAUUUAGGGGAAAGUCCCGUUAACAGAAUCAAUCAUUUUAUUUUCUUAAGAUUUUGUUUUUAAGUAAUCUCUGUACCCCCGGUGGAGCUUGAACCCAUGACCCUGAGAUGGAGAGUCGCAUGCUCCACUGACUGACCCACCCCGGCGCCACCAGAGAGCGCCCGUGAUUGAUUACUUAAUAUUAUUAUCAAUAAUUAUCAAUUAUUCAUAAUUAUUUUGGAAGUGAAAACUCA